This 482-nucleotide ribosomal RNA is filed under the name uncultured bacterium. RNAcentral describes it as "partial 16S ribosomal RNA". It matches the Rfam family "Bacterial small subunit ribosomal RNA", at positions 30 to 507 of the family's 1533-position model. The record is from RNAcentral.
AUUGAACGCUGGCGGCAUGCUUUACACAUGCAAGUCGAACGGUAACAGGCCGCAAGGUGCUGACGAGUGGCGAACGGGUGAGUAAUGCAUCGGAACGUGCCCAGUCGUGGGGGAUAACUACUCGAAAGAGUAGCUAAUACCGCAUACGAUCUAUGGAUGAAAGCGGGGGACCGUAAGGCCUCGCGCGAUUGGAGCGGCCGAUGUCAGAUUAGGUAGUUGGUGGGGUAAAGGCUCACCAAGCCAACGAUCUGUAGCAGGUCUGAGAGGACGACCAGCCACACUGGGACUGGGCCACGGCCCAGACUCCUACGGGAGGCAGCAGUGGGGAAUUUUGGACAAUGGGCGCAAGCCUGAUCCAGCAAUGCCGCGUGCAGGAAGAAGGCCUUCGGGUUGUAAACUGCUUUUGUACGGAACGAAACGGCUCUGGUUAAUACCCGGGGCUAAUGACGGUACCGUAAGAAUAAGCACCGGCUAACUACGUG